CGCACAUUGCGCCCUUUGGUAUUCCGAAGGGCACAUCUGUUCGAGCGUCAUUACACCUAAUCAAGUUUAACUUGGUAAUUGAAUGAACAUACUUGUCUUGAAAUAUAGACACAUUCAAAAGAUAUCUAGCAGUACCUAUCAGGUCUCAAGCGUAACAAAUUUAAAUCGUUUGUCAGACUUUAUUUGGAACUUGCAUUUUUACAUAUAUUUCAAAGGUUGACCUCGAAUCAGAUGGGGAUACCCGCUGAACUUAA
Molecule: unclassified non-coding RNA, 254 nt
Filed under: Pseudorobillarda sp.
Lineage: Eukaryota; Fungi; Ascomycota; Dothideomycetes; Pleosporales
Description: partial contains 5.8S ribosomal RNA, internal transcribed spacer 2, and large subunit ribosomal RNA
Source: RNAcentral